UGCAAGUCGCACGAGAAAGUGGAGCAAUCCAUGAGUAAAGUGGCGCACGGGUGAGUAACACGUGACUUAUCUACCUCCGAGUGGGGAAUAACCUAGAGAAAUCUGGGCUAAUACCGCAUAACACUUACGAGUCAAAGCAGCAAUGCGCUUGGAGAGGAGGUCGCGGCCGAUUAGCUAGUUGGCGGGGUAAUGGCCCACCAAGGCGAUGAUCGGUAUCCGGCCUGAGAGGGCGCACGGACACACUGGAACUGAAACACGGUCCAGACUCCUACGGGAGGCAGCAGUGGGGAAUUUUGCGCAAUGGGGGAAACCCUGACGCAGCAACGCCGCGUGGAGGAUGAAAUCCCUUGGGAUGUAAACUCCUUUCGAUCGGGACGAUUAUGACGGUACCGGAAGAAGAAGCCCCGGCUAACUUCGUGCCAGCAGCCGCGGUAAUACGAGGGGGGCAAGCGUUGUUCGGAAUUAUUGGGCGUAAAGGGCGCGUAGGCGGUUUGGCAAGUCUUAUGUGAAAUCUUCGGGCUCAACUCGAAGUCUGCAUGAGAAACUGCCGGGCUUGAGUAUGGGAGAGGUGAGUGGAAUUUCCGGUGUAGCGGUGAAAUGCGUAGAUAUCGGAAGGAACACCUGUGGCGAAAGCGGCUCACUGGACCAUAACUGACGCUGAUGCGCGAAAGCUAGGGGAGCAAACAGGAUUAGAUACCCUGGUAGUCCUAGCCCUAAACGAUGAUUGCUUGGUGUGACAGGUACCCAAUCCUGUCGUGCGAAGCUAACGCGAUAAGCAAUCCGCCUGGGGAGUACGGUCGCAGGCUGAAACUCAAGGAAUUGACGGGGGCCCCACAAGCGGGGAGCAUGUGGUUUAUUCGACGC
Molecule: ribosomal RNA, 864 nt
Filed under: uncultured bacterium
Lineage: Bacteria
Description: bacterial SSU rRNA
Rfam family: Bacterial small subunit ribosomal RNA
Source: RNAcentral